Molecule: ribosomal RNA, 464 nt
Filed under: uncultured bacterium
Lineage: Bacteria
Description: partial 16S ribosomal RNA
Rfam family: Bacterial small subunit ribosomal RNA
Source: RNAcentral
CUACGGGGCGCUCCAGUGGGGAAUAUUGCGCAAUGGACGCAAGUCUGACGCAGCAAUGCCGCGUGGGUGAUGAAGGCUCUAGGGUCGUAAAGCCCUGUCAGAGGGGAAGAACCUGACAAUCAGGAAAUGGGUUGUCACUGACGGUACCCUCAAAGGAAGCACCGGCUAACUCCGUGCCAGCAGCCGCGGUAAUACGGGGGGUACGAGCGUUGUUCGGAAUCACUGGGCGUAAAGCGCGUGUAGGCGGAUUGUUAAGUCAGGUGUGAAAGCCCACGGCUCAACUGUGGAACUGCAUUUGAAACUGGCGAUCUAGAGUGCGGGAGAGGGAAGGGGAAUUCCCGGUGUAGAGGUGACAUUCGUAGAUAUCGGGAGGAAUACCGGUGGCGAAGGCGCCUUCCUGGACCGACACUGACGCUGAGACGCGAAAGCGUGGGUAGCAAACAGGAUUAGAUACCCUUGUAGUC